This 394-nucleotide ribosomal RNA is filed under the name uncultured bacterium. Its description in RNAcentral is "bacterial SSU rRNA". It matches the Rfam family "Bacterial small subunit ribosomal RNA", at positions 28 to 422 of the family's 1533-position model. The record is from RNAcentral.
GACGAACGCUGGCGGCGUGCUUAACACAUGCAAGUCGAGCGGUAAGGCCCUUUCGGGGGUACACGAGCGGCGAACGGGUGAGUAACACGUGGGUGACCUGCCCUCAGCUCUGGGAUAAGCCUGGGAAACCGGGUCUAAUACUGGAUAUGACUCCAUGACGCAUGUUGUGGGGUGGAAAGCCUUGUGCGGCUGAGGAUGGGCCCGCGGCCUAUCAGCUUGUUGGUGGGGUGANGGCCUACCAAGGCGACGACGGGUAGCCGGCCUGAGAGGGCGACCGGCCACACUGGGACUGAGACACGGCCCAGACUCCUACGGGAGGCAGCAGUGGGGAAUCUUGCGCAAAUGGGCGAAAGCCUGACGCAGCGACGCCGCGUGAGGGAUGACGGCCUCGGUG